Molecule: unclassified non-coding RNA, 161 nt
Organism: Chelonoidis abingdonii (Abingdon island giant tortoise)
Lineage: Eukaryota; Metazoa; Chordata; Testudines; Testudinidae
Source: Ensembl
UUGCAAGCACCGGAGAAUCAAGUCCUCUGUUUAUCCCAAAACAGCAGGUACAGCACUGGCAGUAGCCAUGCCAGCUUCCUGCACAUCCUGCCCCACCAAUGUACCUCAGCCCUUCCUAGGAGGGUGGUUUGUCUUUGUGUCCCAUUCCAUCUUUGGCUGAU